This 253-nucleotide ribosomal RNA is filed under the name uncultured bacterium. Its description in RNAcentral is "partial 16S ribosomal RNA". It matches the Rfam family "Bacterial small subunit ribosomal RNA", at positions 524 to 776 of the family's 1533-position model. The record is from RNAcentral.
UACAGAGGUCUCAAGCGUUAAUCGGAAUUACUGGGCGUAAAGCGCGCGUAGGCGGCUUUGCAAGCCGGAUGUGAAAUCCCCGGGCUUAACCUGGGAACUGCAUUCGGGACUGCAUUGCUAGAGUAUGGGAGAGGGAAGUGGAAUUUCAGGUGUAGCGGUGAAAUGCGUAGAUAUCUGAAGGAACAUCAGUGGCGAAAGCGACUUCCUGGACCAAUACUGACGCUCAUGUGCGAAAGCGUGGGGAGCAAACAGG